CCUACGGGAGGCAGCAGUGGGGAAUAUUGGGCAAUGGAGGCAACUCUGACCCAGCAACGCCGCGUGAAUGAUGAAGGUUUUCGGAUUGUAAAGUUCUUUUCUAAGGGAAGUAGAAAGUGACGGUACCUUAGGAAUAAGCCUCGGCUAACUACGUGCCAGCAGCCGCGGUAAUACGUAGGAGGCAAGCGUUAUCCGGAAUCACUGGGCGUAAAGGGUGCGUAGGUGGUUUGACAAGUUAGUAGCGAAAUUCCGGGGCUCAACCUCGGAACUACUACUGAAACUGUUGGACUUGAGUGCAGGAGAGGCAGUCGGAAUUCGUGGUGUAGCGGUGAAAUGCAUAGAUAUUAGGAAGAACACCAAUGGCGAAGGCAGAUUGCUAGACUGUAACUGACACUGAGGCACGAAAGCGUGGGGAGCAAACAGGAUUAGAUACCCUAGUAGUC
RNAcentral lists this ribosomal RNA (443 nucleotides) under uncultured bacterium. Its description in RNAcentral is "partial 16S ribosomal RNA". It matches the Rfam family "Bacterial small subunit ribosomal RNA", at positions 338 to 795 of the family's 1533-position model. The record is from RNAcentral.